UGAUAUGAGGGCAAUUGGAUUGCUGCAUCUAUCGCCUCAUUGUUUGCUGGAAGUGAGUUGGCUAAUUUGUCUGACUAACACAGGUGUCCUCUUCCUAAUACAUCCUUCCUUAGAUAUGUGUAUAACUCCAAAAGCUAUGCAUUUGGUGGAAAUGGACAUAUGCUCAAAUAUACAGGACUAUUCUUCAAUCAAGGGUAUAUCAAUAACUGUCAACCUUUGCUGGAAUGUACACAGACAGCUCUUAAACAAAAUCCCAAUGAGGCGCCUCCCUG
Mus musculus (house mouse) is the source of this 272-nucleotide non-coding RNA. The record is from Rfam. Lineage: Eukaryota; Metazoa; Chordata; Mammalia; Rodentia; Muridae.